CGUUUCUUCUGCACCUGAAACCAGAACAAUAUUAUGUAUUUUCACACAUUACAACGUUUAAAAUAUUACCACGCUGUAACAGAUGGUUUUCAGUUGAACAAUAGGAAAAAGUUUGAACGAUGUCCGUUACGAAACAGAAAUCGAGUUUCUCCAUCAGCCUGUUCAUACUACUGGACACGUUCGCGGUGACGUUUGAAAGUGUGAUUGUAAUGUUUUCGAACCUGUAAACGUGCUUACAUGUUUAUUACUCCUUUACGCAUCGCUGACGACGACAGUUGCAACGUUUACAUGCACGGCGUGCAUAAAUCUAUCGUCAAGUAAUUGAUGUCUUACUCGAGCUCGACUGUGUUGUUCUUUACGAUGCAUUCAUAGCUCGAUGGUACAUGCACGAUUCAAUUCAUGAACAACGCACAUUCGUCUAGAAGAAACAUUCCUUACUUGUUCAUUUUUGUACAGCAAUAUAUAUAAUAUAUUUCUGUAUAUAUAUAUAUAUAUAUAUAUAUAUAUAUAUAUAUAUAUAAUAGUAUCCAUCGAAAUUUCAUGAUGAUAACGAAGGAACGUGAUCGUAAUUAUAAUUUGUGAUCAAAUAUCAUAAAAGGUUACGCGAGAUUUCAAUACAUAGGUGCAGACAAAGACAAAACUAAAUGAUCAGAUAGUGGAUCCAGGUAUCAAUGACGUUUAAUCAAACUGGAACUAGUAUUAUCUACUUAAGUUCUAUUUGUUAUAUAUCCUUGUAGUACACGUGUAGAUUACUUAAUAUGUAAUCGAAAUUAGUAUCAGUAUAGCAUUAGUUGUUGUAUGAACCGGCCGUAUUUAACGGAGCUUUAUUGAUAUUUGUUUCCACUACCUGCUCAAUUAUUUCUCUACCCGACUGUUACUUGUUUGUUUAAGUUCCAUAUAACGUAACCAGAUAAUAAAAUAAUGAUAUAAAUAAUAAUAUAUUAUAAUAUGAAUUAUAAAUUAACGAUAUAAAAACUAUAAUAAAAAAAAAAGAAAAACAGGUAAAACUAGAACCGUUGGAUACAAAAAUCGUAAAGUUCGAACGAGUUUCCAGCGAUCCAGCAGACACGCGUUGACCGGUCGAUAAAUAUCCGACUUUAGAGCAAAUUUGCGGCGUCUAGUUAUCUCUGGGUGUGAAAAACUAAUCUCGAAAGAUUCUUCUUCAACAGGACGCCAACCAAAGGAAUGGAUAAGAGAUCGUGCAUCCGGCGAGGGUUCCGGUUACACUGGUGCCGAGAGCAGAAAUUAAGUUUGGGGUUUUAUAGAGCUGCAUGGCAUUCCUGAAACGCGAAACGAUACGUUCGAUGUUGAUUCGAGUGACAAAAUGAAAAAAAGUCAAGGGAGCGGAACGGCGCCGACCGGCGAUCAGACAACGCAGACGUUGAACUUCGCAUUACGGGAGAAUCGGGGCGCCAGGAGUAAAUUCCGAGAUUCAGUGGCCCUCGUGAGAUCGCGUGACAGUUAUUUAACUGGGACCCGCUAAGCGAGUAUGUCGGUGUAUUUUUUAUCGUCCAGAGAUACAUUUAGGUGCCUGCCGACGCAUACCUCUAGUACUUCUGAUAAGUUUCUACGACAUUGCGAGAUACAAUGUAACAAAAAGUUUUUCAGCGAUCUGGAAACAUGAAGAACGAUAAUGAUAAGGCCGAUAGUAAAAAACGGAGCAACUAUUUUUCCAUCGGUAAGCUCUCGAGGUAUUCAAUUAUGUUAUAGAUAACGAGGCGUAAAUCUAUAUAGCUUUCACAGCAACUAAAUAUAAAUCUUCGCGAUUUCGACGGACUCUGUAUCUUCUUCUUUUUACUUUUACUUAUACAAAUAUAAAGACAUUCCGCUUUUUUUGUCUCCUUAAGGAAGUUUUGAAUACAUCCUUCGACGUUGGACACUGUACAAAUAUAGCUGUGCGACGACGUGACCAAAAAUACCGUGCGACUGCGCUAAUAUCGCAACCAAACGGUCAAAAAGUGUGUAUAACGUGAGUACCCAUAUACGAUGUCAUGAGAACGUCUUUGCGAGACACAGACAGAUCAAUCCUGAUGAUCGUCUCGAUUAAAAAACGUCCCGCUAUUCGCACGAGCUGGCGUGGUCCACCCACCUACGAUUUUCUCGCACCGUGGUAGUCAUUCAUUAUUUCGACAUUAUUCUAUAGGUAAUAAUAGAAACAAGACAAACGUUCUCGCCUGAUCGGACAGGAAGUCGGUAUCGAUUAGUGCGUGGAGUCUCCUGCGUGGGUGGUUCUUCGAGCGUUCUCACUUCCAACAAAUCUUUUGAUCUAUGCCGCUUCCUAUGAAAAUGAACGAACCACCUCUAACACCUCUUAAUAUGCUGUUAAACCUAUUUUCAUGAAAAGCUAGAAAUGUAUCAAGUUGUAACGUAAUUAAGUUCGAUUGAACGCAAUAUUCUUCCCCAUUUAACUGAACGUACAUACGUUACAACGUACUAUCUACAUCUGAGUGGCUAAUUACAUUAACAAGUUCUAUUUUGACAGGCAAAUCCAACAAACGUAUGUGUCGGGCAUAAAUAGACGUAGUAACACUGGAAAAUAAAACUAAUAAGUAGACAGUGUACACUAGUCCGGUGUAUGACUUUAGGUAAAGAAACGAUGUCUCGUGUGAUUCACGCGACGUGUCUGCCUGGUCGCUCACAACGAAGCCCGUGACCUAUCAAUAGCUCCUCAUAUACACUGAAGAGGGACUGUCAUUCCACCGAAGACUAAAAAUAGAGUUCGCGCGUCCGUCCAUAAGUCGCUGGGUCCGAGCAGUUCUGUACCAAUGCUCUUUCUCUCUCUUUCUCGAUCACACUUUAUCUUUUCUCUUCGUCUACCCUUUCGUCCCAGCCUGAUCUUCGUUCCUUUUUCUUUUCUACGCCAGUAUUUAUAGCAGUUCCUCGUGAAAUUUUUUCCUCGCUCCUCACUGUUGAUACUUCAAUCGGCGAAUAUUGUUAACAUUUAUACUUCGAUUCCAAAAAAUGCUAUUUUCUUUCAGUUGGCAAUGUUUGGAAUGUUUUAAGGUGAACUAAAAAGAACGAAAGGCGGACGGGAUGUUAUAGGCAAACACGGUAAGAACGGUUACCAGUCAAGGACAGAGUUUACGAAGAUUGGCUAAAUUAAACUCCAUUAGGACAGUCGUGACCGUUCUGCCCGGACGACAAAUGCAUGCGCGACAGAACCCGUUACUAUGAUAGAGAUCAUUAGUUGAACCGCACAGAGCGAGGGCUUUGAAUCGCUUUAUGAUUGACCCCAAAUUUAUAUCCACAUCCUUAACCUACAAACAACUGUAUGCGCGGGUCAAGUUAUUAACCCAAUGUUAUUAACCUCGCCUGUGACUUCGUCAAUCUAACUUUCGGAUCCCAUGAAAAUUAUUUAUCGUCCCCGUGGCUAAUAUCCUGCCGAUGAAUGACAUAAGUAUACCCAAUGUAAACAGCAUGACUCGAUUCUAAAGUGCGGAAUAUCUAAUCGACCAUUAGUGAUCGUUCAUUCAUGAAAUGUAAAUGAAAAUCAAUAUGUCAGUGUUUUUUAACGUAUAUUCCUUCUAGCAUCUUAAUCAUUUAGUAUACGAUGACUAGUUUUUUUUUUAUUUCCGUUAAUUCGUAACUACGUAUAUAAUAAACUAUUAUGUACCGCCUUAAAUCACGUAAUUCAGAUGUCGUGUCUGGCGCGCGUGCUAGCUACGUAUCUGAUUAUUCGUCUUACCGGAUGAAAACUAGUGAACCAAAUGGAAUUUUAAAAACGAUAAGUAAUUUAUUUAGUGCGCACAUAUAAGUAGCUUUUGUAUCAGAUAUUUUUCAAUAUGUUCAUCCAUUCUAAAAUAUAUAUGUAUUAUAUAUAUUCACUAUACUUGCUAAAUACAAUUCUGUUUUGUAAAAUGAUGCUACUGUGUCUCUAUCUUUCGGACAUAAUGUG
Long non-coding RNA from Bombus pyrosoma, 3895 nucleotides. RefSeq lists it as uncharacterized. The transcript has 3 exons. The record is from RefSeq and is a predicted model, not a curated record. NCBI's taxonomy places the organism in Eukaryota, Metazoa, Arthropoda, Insecta, Hymenoptera, Apidae.